GCAGUCGAACGCUUCUUUUUCCACCGGAGCUUGCUCCACCGGAAAAAGAAGAGUGGCGAACGGGUGAGUAACACGUGGGUAACCUGCCCAUCAGAAGGGGAUAACACUUGGAAACAGGUGCUAAUACCGUAUAACAAUCAAAACCGCAUGGUUUUGAUUUGAAAGGCGCUUUCGGGUGUCGCUGAUGGAUGGACCCGCGGUGCAUUAGCUAGUUGGUGAGGUAACGGCUCACCAAGGCCACGAUGCAUAGCCGACCUGAGAGGGUGAUCGGCCACAUUGGGACUGAGACACGGCCCAAACUCCUACGGGAGGCAGCAGUAGGGAAUCUUCGGCAAUGGACGAAAGUCUGACCGAGCAACGCCGCGUGAGUGAAGAAGGUUUUCGGAUCGUAAAACUCUGUUGUUAGAGAAGAACAAGGAUGAGAGUAACUGUUCAUCCCUUGACGGUAUCUAACCAGAAAGCCACGGCUAACUACGUGCCAGCAGCCGCGGUAAUACGUAGGUGGCAAGCGUUGUCCGGAUUUAUUGGGCGUAAAGCGAGCGCAGGCGGUUUCUUAAGUCUGAUGUGAAAGCCCCCGGCUCAACCGGGGAGGGUCAUUGGAAACUGGGAGACUUGAGUGCAGAAGAGGAGAGUGGAAUUCCAUGUGUAGCGGUGAAAUGCGUAGAUAUAUGGAGGAACACCAGUGGCGAAGGCGGCUCUCUGGUCUGUAACUGACGCUGAGGCUCGAAAGCGUGGGGAGCAAACAGGAUUAGAUACCCUGGUAGUCCACGCCGUAAACGAUGAGUGCUAAGUGUUGGAGGGUUUCCGCCCUUCAGUGCUGCAGCUAACGCAUUAAGCACUCCGCCUGGGGAGUACGACCGCAAGGUUGAAACUCAAAGGAAUUGACGGGGGCCCGCACAAGCGGUGGAGCAUGUGGUUUAAUUCGAAGCAACGCGAAGAACCUUACCAGGUCUUGACAUCCUUUGACCACUCUAGAGAUAGAGCUUCCCCUUCGGGGGCAAAGUGACAGGUGGUGCAUGGUUGUCGUCAGCUCGUGUCGUGAGAUGUUGGGUUAAGUCCCGCAACGAGCGCAACCCUUAUUGUUAGUUGCCAUCAUUCAGUUGGGCACUCUAGCAAGACUGCCGGUGACAAACCGGAGGAAGGUGGGGAUGACGUCAAAUCAUCAUGCCCCUUAU
RNAcentral lists this ribosomal RNA (1175 nucleotides) under Enterococcus faecium. RNAcentral describes it as "bacterial SSU rRNA". It matches the Rfam family "Bacterial small subunit ribosomal RNA", at positions 57 to 1205 of the family's 1533-position model. Lineage: Bacteria; Bacillati; Bacillota; Bacilli; Lactobacillales; Enterococcaceae. The record is from RNAcentral.